AACGCGAAGAACCUUACCAGGUCUUGACAUCCUUUGAAGCUUUUAGAGAUAGAAGUGUUCUCUUCGGAGACAAAGUGACAGGUGGUGCAUGGUCGUCGUCAGCUCGUGUCGUGAGAUGUUGGGUUAAGUCCCGCAACGAGCGCAACCCUUAUUGUUAGUUGCCAGCAUUCAGAUGGGCACUCUAGCGAGACUGCCGGUGACAAACCGGAGGAAGGCGGGGACGACGUCAGAUCAUCAUGCCCCUUAUGACCUGGGCUACACACGUGCUACAAUGGCGUAUACAACGAGUUGCCAACCCGCGAGGGUGAGCUAAUCUCUUAAAGUACGUCUCAGUUUUGUCAUUGUAGUCUGGAACUCGACUACAUGAAGUCGGAAUCGCUAGUAAUCGCGGAUCAGCACGCCGCGGANCCCG
This 412-nucleotide ribosomal RNA is filed under the name uncultured bacterium. Its description in RNAcentral is "bacterial SSU rRNA". It matches the Rfam family "Bacterial small subunit ribosomal RNA", at positions 958 to 1363 of the family's 1533-position model. The record is from RNAcentral.